GAUGAACGCUGGCGGCGUGCCUAAUACAUGCAAGUCGAGCGAACGGACGAGAAGCUUGCUUCUCUGAUGUUAGCGGCGGACGGGUGAGUAACACGUGGAUAACCUACCUAUAAGACUGGGAUAACUUCGGGAAACCGGAGCUAAUACCGGAUAAUAUUUUGAACCGCAUGGUUCAACAGUGAAAGACGGUCUUGCUGUCACUUAUAGAUGGAUCCGCGCUGCAUUAGCUAGUUGGUAAGGUAACGGCUUACCAAGGCAACGAUGCAUAGCCGACCUGAGAGGGUGAUCGGCCACACUGGAACUGAGACACGGUCCAGACUCCUACGGGAGGCAGCAGUAGGGAAUCUUCCGCAAUGGGCGAAAGCCUGACGGAGCAACGCCGCGUGAGUGAUGAAGGUCUUCGGAUCGUAAAACUCUGUUAUUAGGGAAGAACAUAUGUGUAAGUAACUGUGCACAUCUUGACGGCACCUAAUCAGAAAGCCACGGCUAACUACGUG
This 497-nucleotide ribosomal RNA is filed under the name uncultured bacterium. RNAcentral describes it as "partial 16S ribosomal RNA". It matches the Rfam family "Bacterial small subunit ribosomal RNA", at positions 28 to 507 of the family's 1533-position model. The record is from RNAcentral.